AUUGAACGCUGGCGGCAUGCCUUACACAUGCAAGUCGAACGGUAACAGGUCUACGGAUGCUGACGAGUGGCGAACGGGUGAGUAAUACAUCGGAAUGUGCCUAGUAGUGGGGGAUAACUACUCGAAAGAGUGGCUAAUACCGCAUGAGAUCUACGGAUGAAAGCAGGGGAUCGCAAGACCUUGUGCUACUAGAGCGGCCGAUGGCAGAUUAGGUAGUUGGUGGGAUAAAAGCUUACCAAGCCGACGAUCUGUAGCUGGUCUGAGAGGACGAUCAGCCACACUGGGACUGAGAAACGGCCCAGACUCCUACGGGAGGCAGCAGUGGGGAAUUUUGGACAAUGGGCGAAAGCCUGAUCCAGCAAUGCCGCGUGCAGGAUGAAGGCCUUCGGGUUGUAAACUGCUUUUGUACGGAACGAAAAGCCCCGGGUUAAUACCCUGGGGUCAUGACGGUACCGUAAGAAUAAGCACCGGCUAACUACGUGCCAGCCGCCGCCGUAA
RNAcentral lists this ribosomal RNA (498 nucleotides) under uncultured bacterium. RNAcentral describes it as "partial 16S ribosomal RNA". It matches the Rfam family "Bacterial small subunit ribosomal RNA", at positions 30 to 523 of the family's 1533-position model. The record is from RNAcentral.